This 971-nucleotide long non-coding RNA is filed under the name Ficedula albicollis (Collared flycatcher). RNAcentral describes it as "lncRNA (ENSFALG00000025705.1)". Lineage: Eukaryota; Metazoa; Chordata; Aves; Passeriformes; Muscicapidae. The record is from RNAcentral.
AUGGCAACAGGUUCCCGGGCUCCAUCCCGCUUCUGUUCCCGCUUCUCCCACCCACGAAGACGCCGUGUGAGGGGGUGGCCGGGCCCCCUCCCCUCCCUGCGCUGCGGCAGCGCCCCCCCCCCCCCCCCCCCCCCCCCCCCCCCCCCCCGGGUGGGGACAAAUCAGGGACAGGCGCCAGCACAGCCAAGUGUCUUCAUGGAGACCAAAACCUUGGGACAAGAUCCGUGCGCUGCUGAUGUGUCCCUGCGCCUGCGGAGCACCAUCCUCGCUGGACACGGAUCCAGGAUGGAAAAGAACCUGGCCCCGGCACAGGGGGGUCCCCAUUCCUACCCCACACCCCCUCUCUGGAGGCUGUGGGUGGAGGUGCAAGGGCGUGAGCCCCUCGCCGGCCGCGGCGCCCCGACACGUGUCACAAUAGUAAUGUAAUUUGUCCGUUAACAAUGGGCAGCUUGAGGUUUAUAUUUAAUUACACCGAUCGCACCAACCUGAACUCACCCUUAUUCAUCAAUAAUGCAUGGGUUUGUGUUUAUCGCUGCUUAAUUAAUCUGUGCUUACGACAAUUAAAGGCUAGCAAAAUCCCCCAAGGUGGCAGCGGGGAGCGGCUGCGCCGGGCUGGCACGAGCUCGGUGCCGGUGUGGUGGCAGUGCCAGCGUGGUUGUGGUGCCAGUAUGGUCACCCUGACACCAUGGUCACAGUGCUGGUGUGGUGGCAGUGCCAGCCUGCUCGUGGUGUCAGUGUGGUCACCCUGACAGCGUGGUCACUGUGCUGGCACGCUCACAGUGCUGGUGUGGUGGCAGUGCCAGCCUGCUCGUGGUGCCAGUGUGGUCACUGUGACUGUGUGGUCGCCAUGCUGGCAUGUGGUGGCAUGUGGUCACUGGACCAGUGUGGUCAUAGUCAUGAUGCUGGCAUGGUCAUGGCACCAGUGUGGUCACGGUGCCAGUCUGGUGGCAGUGCUGGCAUGGUCACUGUGC